UUUUCCCUGCCUCCCUCUCUCCCCUGCCCCCCUUCUCAGGCUUAAUGACUUCCACAUGGGCCUCUGGCGGCUGGAGCCAAGCCUCCCAGCAUUGUCUGAAAUCUCCAAAUUUAGAAGAAAUAUGAAAAUUGUCAACCACUCCUUCCUUAGGGGGUAAAAGCAACAUUCUGCACCGGGGGCAGGUCAAGGCGAGGUAGUCACGUGGGGGGCGCCUGGGCCAAUGGGGGGCCCUGGGAGGGCUCAGCACCCACCUCGCCCCAACGCGGGGCUCGCCUCUUCAGCUCAUAUAAGGUAAAAGGCAGAGUGGCCUCUGUGGCCAGGGAGCCGCAGGCAAGGGACUAAGGGGGGGGGGGGCUCAGUGCCAGCUGCUUAAAAAUGCCCCUGUGGCAGCGAGGGGCACCAGAGGCUGGGUCUAAUUAGUUGAGAAGCAGUGACAACCCCAACCACUCACCAAACAGGCUGGUUCCCAUCUCCAGGCCCCAAGGAGCCACACCUGGACCAGAUCCCAGGAAAGGCAACGGCACUGACUGGUGGGAGCCACCCCUGCCAUGCUAAUGUUGGAGAAGCAAGAACUCUGCAGAAGCAGCCUCCUGGGACCAGAAGAGGGCCAGCAGCGGGCAGCUCAGACAGAACUGUGAGCCCACCGCCCCUCCACCCCUCCGGCACCCACAUCCACUCCCCACCCCAGCCCACCUGCAGGCGGCUCCUGGAGUAACCUGGGUCCCUCAGGAUAAACUCCCCACCCCAACUUCAGAAUGACCAAGAAACCGGGCCUCAGGAUGACGAGAAGCAGAAUGGGCGUUGCUCACCCACGCCUCCCCAAGCCUCCCGACAGAAGACAGAGGUCCCCCACAGCCCAGAGACAUUUCCUGAAGACAUGGGGAGCACAGAGGUGGAAACAGCCCAUCCACCCAGGAGCGGCCCCCAACGCUGCCGGCAGCCAGCACCCAGAGCCAUCAGGCGCAGUGGGAGCCGUGGAGAGUGGAGUAGACCAGCUGUCCGUGAUCCCCAAAGGAGUCCAAUGUUGGAAUCACUCCCCAGCCAAAUGCAGGAUUUUUAAAAAUCUAUUUAUUUAUUUGUGUAGAGACCAGGCGAUGAGACUGGCUAAUUUUUUGUAUUUUUUGAUAGAGACAGGAUUUCAUCGUGUUGCCCAGGCUGGUCUUGAACUCCUGGGCUCAAGCGAUCCACUGUCCUCAGCUUCCCAAAGUGCUCGGGAUUACAGGCGUGAGUCACAGUGCCCAGCCACCAAAUGCAGUUGA
RNAcentral lists this long non-coding RNA (1259 nucleotides) under Macaca mulatta (Rhesus monkey). RNAcentral describes it as "lncRNA (ENSMMUG00000040661.2)". The record is from RNAcentral. Lineage: Eukaryota; Metazoa; Chordata; Mammalia; Primates; Cercopithecidae.